RNAcentral lists this ribosomal RNA (468 nucleotides) under uncultured bacterium. RNAcentral describes it as "partial 16S ribosomal RNA". It matches the Rfam family "Bacterial small subunit ribosomal RNA", at positions 28 to 507 of the family's 1533-position model. The record is from RNAcentral.
GACGAACGCUGGCGGCGCGCCUAACACAUGCAAGUCGAACGGAGUCAAGAGGAGCUUGCUUUUCUUGACUUAGUGGCGAACGGGUGAGUAACGCGUGAGUAACCUGCCCUGGAGUGGGGGACAACAGUUGGAAACGACUGCUAAUACCGCAUAAGCCCACGGAUCUGCAUGGAUCUGCGGGAAAAGGUUUUAUUCGCUCUAGGAUGGACUCGCGUCCAAUUAGCUAGUUGGUGAGGUAACGGCCCACCAAGGCGACGAUUGGUAGCCGGACUGAGAGGUUGAACGGCCACAUUGGGACUGAGACACGGCCCAGACUCCUACGGGAGGCAGCAGUGGGGGAUAUUGCACAAUGGAGGAAACCCUGAUGCAGCGACGCCGCGUGGAGGAAGAAGGUUUUCGGAUUGUAAACUCCUGUCGUUAGGGACGAUAAUGACGGUACCUAACAAGAAAGCACCAGCUAACUACGUG